RNAcentral lists this ribosomal RNA (518 nucleotides) under uncultured bacterium. Its description in RNAcentral is "bacterial SSU rRNA". It matches the Rfam family "Bacterial small subunit ribosomal RNA", at positions 27 to 518 of the family's 1533-position model. The record is from RNAcentral.
GGACGAACGCUGGCGGCGUGCCUAAUACAUGCAAGUCGAACGGUCUUUCUAUGGAAGCUUGCUUCCACUGAGAAGAUAGUGGCGAACGGGUGAGUAACACGUGGGUAACCUGCCCAUAAGAGGGGGAUAACAUCCGGAAACGGGUGCUAAUACCGCAUAGUCUUCUUGAUCGCAUGAUCGGGAAAGGAAAGACGGCCUUUGUGCUGUCGCUUAUGGAUGGACCCGCGGCGUAUUAGUUAGUUGGUGAGGUAACGGCUCACCAAGACGAUGAUACGUAGCCGACCUGAGAGGGUGAUCGGCCACAUUGGGACUGAGACACGGCCCAAACUCCUACGGGAGGCAGCAGUAGGGAAUCUUCCGCAAUGGACGAAAGUCUGACGGAGCAACGCCGCGUGAGUGAAGAAAGGUUUUCGGAUCGUAAAACUCUGUUGUCAGAGAAGAACAAGUUGGAGAGUAACUGCUCCAGCCUUGACGGUAUCUGACCAGAAAGCCACGGCUAACUACGUGCCAGCCGCUGC